UACAUUUGCCUAGAAAAACUCAGUCUG
RNAcentral lists this non-coding RNA (27 nucleotides) under Rattus norvegicus (Norway rat). The record is from RNAcentral. Lineage: Eukaryota; Metazoa; Chordata; Mammalia; Rodentia; Muridae.